Molecule: non-coding RNA, 45 nt
Organism: Schistosoma curassoni
Lineage: Eukaryota; Metazoa; Platyhelminthes; Trematoda; Strigeidida; Schistosomatidae
Source: Rfam
AUCCAGUUGACGAGUCCGAAAUAGGACGAAACGCAUGUCGUGGAC